AUUGAACGCUGGCGGCGGGCCUAACACAUGCAAGUCGAACGAGUGGCGGACGGGUGUGUAAUGUCUGGGAAACUGCCUGGUGGAGGGGGAUAACCACUGGAAACGGUCUCUAACACCGCAUAACCGCAGAUGCCCCCAGAUGGGAUUAGCGAGUUGGUGGGGUAACGGCUCACAAAGGCGACGAUCCCUAGCUGGUCUGAGAGGAUGACCAGCCACACUGGAACUGAGACACGGUCCAGACUCCUACGUGAGGCAGCAGUGGGGAAUAUUGCACAAUGGGCGCAAGCCUGAUGCAGCCAUGCCGCGUGUAUGAAGAAGGCCUUCGGGUUGUAAAGUACUUUCAGCGGGGAGGUGUUACCCGCAGAAGAAGCACCGGCUAACGCCGUGCCAGCAGCCGCGGUAAUAC
RNAcentral lists this ribosomal RNA (406 nucleotides) under uncultured bacterium. RNAcentral's name for it is "partial 16S ribosomal RNA". It matches the Rfam family "Bacterial small subunit ribosomal RNA", at positions 30 to 526 of the family's 1533-position model. The record is from RNAcentral.